AUGCCUUAAACUUUGAGUAAGGAAAUUAAUGAUUCGGGGUGAUGCCUGAGUCCCCACUGCUAAUGUGGGAAUUUUUGAGUGGGUAAAGGUUGUCCUUAAGGUGACCCACCUACUUUGCAGGAUGCCUGGGUGUGGUAGUCUGCCUG
This is a small nuclear RNA of Peromyscus californicus insignis, 146 nucleotides long. RefSeq annotates it as U12 minor spliceosomal RNA. The record is from RefSeq and is a predicted model, not a curated record. Lineage: Eukaryota; Metazoa; Chordata; Mammalia; Rodentia; Cricetidae. The transcript has a single exon.